ACGCUGGCGGCGUGCCUAACACAUGCAAGUCGAACGAGAUGCGUAUCGGAAAGCUUCGGCCGGAAGAUACGUUAUCUAGUGGCGGACGGGUGAGUAACACGUGGGUAACCUGCCUUAUGGAGGGGGAUAACAGAGAGAAAUCACUGCUAAUACCGCAUAAGCACACAGUACCGCAUGGUAGAGUGUGAAAAGAUUUAUCGCCAUAAGAUGGACCCGCGUCUGAUUAGCCAGUUGGCAGGGUAAAAGCCUACCAAAGCGACGAUCAGUAGCCGAUCUGAGAGGAUGACCGGCCACAUUGGGACUGAGACACGGCCCAAACUCCUACGGGAGGCAGCAGUGGGGAAUAUUGCACAAUGGGGGAAACCCUGAUGCAGCGACGCCGCGUGAGUGAAGAAGUAUUUCGGUAUGUAAAGCUCUAUCAGCAGGGAAGAUAAUGACAGUACCUGACUAAGAAGCCCCGGCUAACUACGUGCCAGCAGCCGCGGUAAUACGUAGGGGGCAAGCGUUAUCCGGAUUUACUGGGUGUAAAGGGAGCGUAGACGGAGUGGCAAGUCUGAAGUGAAAACCCUGGGCUUAACCUGGGGACUGCUUUGGAAACUGUUAAUCUAGAGUGUUGGAGAGGUAAGUGGAAUUCCUGGUGUAGCGGUGAAAUGCGUAGAUAUCAGGAAGAACACCGGAGGCGAAGGCGGCUUACUGGACAAUAACUGACGUUGAGGCUCGAAAGCGAGGGGAUCAAACAGGAUUAGAUACCCUGGUAGUCCACGCUGUAAACGAUGAAUACUAGGUGUCGGGGAGCGAAGCUUCUCGGUGCCGUCGCAAACGCAAUAAGUAUUCCACCUGGGGAGUACGUUCGCAAGAAUGAAACUCAAAGGAAUUGACGGGGACCCGCACAAGCGGUGGAG
RNAcentral lists this ribosomal RNA (902 nucleotides) under uncultured bacterium. RNAcentral's name for it is "bacterial SSU rRNA". It matches the Rfam family "Bacterial small subunit ribosomal RNA", at positions 33 to 937 of the family's 1533-position model. The record is from RNAcentral.